RNAcentral lists this ribosomal RNA (522 nucleotides) under uncultured bacterium. Its description in RNAcentral is "bacterial SSU rRNA". It matches the Rfam family "Bacterial small subunit ribosomal RNA", at positions 8 to 518 of the family's 1533-position model. The record is from RNAcentral.
AGGGUUCGAUUCUGGCUCAGGAUGAACGCUAGCUACAGGCUUAACACAUGCAAGUCGAGGGGCAGCAUGAAGUUUGCUUGCAAACUUUGAUGGCGACCGGCGCACGGGUGAGUAACGCGUAUCCAACCUUCCCUAUACUAGAGGAUAGCCCGGCGAAAGUCGGAUUAAUACUCUAUAUUCUUCGUAGAAGACAUCUGAAAUGAAGCAAAGGUUUACCGGUAUAGGAUGGGGAUGCGUCUGAUUAGGUUGUUGGCGGGGUAACGGCCCACCAAGCCCACGAUCAGUAGGGGUUCUGAGAGGAAGGUCCCCCACAUUGGAACUGAGACACGGUCCAAACUCCUACGGGAGGCAGCAGUGAGGAAUAUUGGUCAAUGGACGAGAGUCUGAACCAGCCAAGUAAGCGUGCAGGAUGACGGCCCUAUGGGUUGUAAACUGCUUUUAUACAGGGAUAAAGUGACGUACGUGUACGUUUUUGUAGGUACUGUAUGAAUAAGGACCGGCUAAUUCCGUGCCAGCCGCCGC